GGCCGAGUUAAUGGAAAACACCUGCCUUCUAAGCAGGUUGUCGCAGGUUCGAUUCCUGCAGGGGUCGCCA
Molecule: transfer RNA, 70 nt
Filed under: Rhizobium leguminosarum
Lineage: Bacteria; Pseudomonadati; Pseudomonadota; Alphaproteobacteria; Hyphomicrobiales; Rhizobiaceae
Also listed under: 3 other names
Description: tRNA-Arg
Rfam family: tRNA (bases 6-59)
About the family: Transfer RNA (tRNA) molecules are approximately 80 nucleotides in length. Their secondary structure includes four short double-helical elements and three loops (D, anti-codon, and T loops).
Source: RNAcentral